GCCCCGAUGGCACAGAUGGAUAGCGCAAUCCCCUCCUAAGGGAUAGGUCGCAGGUUCGAAUCCUGCUCGGGGCG
This 74-nucleotide transfer RNA is filed under the name Gammaproteobacteria bacterium. RNAcentral's name for it is "tRNA-Arg". It matches the Rfam family "tRNA". Rfam says of the family: Transfer RNA (tRNA) molecules are approximately 80 nucleotides in length. The record is from RNAcentral. RNAcentral also lists the same sequence under 1 other name. Lineage: Bacteria; Pseudomonadati; Pseudomonadota; Gammaproteobacteria.